RNAcentral lists this ribosomal RNA (497 nucleotides) under uncultured bacterium. Its description in RNAcentral is "partial 16S ribosomal RNA". It matches the Rfam family "Bacterial small subunit ribosomal RNA", at positions 28 to 507 of the family's 1533-position model. The record is from RNAcentral.
GAUGAACGCUGGCGGCGUGCCUAAUACAUGCAAGUCGAGCGAACGAACGAGAGGCUUGCUUCUCUGAUGUUAGCGGCGGACGGGUGAGUAACACGUGGAUAACCUACCUAUAAGACUGGGAUAACUUCGGGAAACCGGAGCUAAUACCGGAUAAUAUUUUGAACCGCAUGGUUCAAAAGUGAAAGACGGUCUUGCUGUCACUUAUAGAUGGAUCCGCGCUGCAUUAGCUAGUUGGUAAGGUAACGGCUUACCAAGGCAACGAUGCAUAGCCGACCUGAGAGGGUGAUCGGCCACACUGGAACUGAGACACGGUCCAGACUCCUACGGGAGGCAGCAGUAGGGAAUCUUCCGCAAUGGGCGAAAGCCUGACGGAGCAACGCCGCGUGAGUGAUGAAGGUCUUCGGAUCGUAAAACUCUGUUAUUAGGGAAGAACAUAUGUGUAAGUAACUGUGCACAUCUUGACGGUACCUAAUCAGAAAGCCACGGCUAACUACGUG